GACUGCUAGAGAAGCUAUCUGUACAAGUGCAUCAGGUCGUGACUCAAAAAUAAUCAAUACAACGCCUAAUGGAGAUGAUGAUUUCUCCAAGAUGAAUCCAUCAGCAAUCUCCGUUCUUUUUAAAGUGUGACCAAGGGGCUCAUCCAUGUUAGACAGCACACGAACUGAGUUUGCAAGACUAGAAAUUUUUCCUGGAUUUAAAGCCAGACGAGAUAUCAAAGACUUCUCAUAUCCGGCCUGUUGAGCAGCAACCACAUCAGCUUCAUUCUCAGCGAGGAUUGCCUUUUCAUUUGCUUCCAGUGCAUCAGCUAUA
This 313-nucleotide unclassified non-coding RNA is filed under the name Hevea brasiliensis (rubber tree). Lineage: Eukaryota; Viridiplantae; Streptophyta; Magnoliopsida; Malpighiales; Euphorbiaceae. The record is from RNAcentral.